RNAcentral lists this ribosomal RNA (388 nucleotides) under uncultured marine Chaetocerotaceae. Its description in RNAcentral is "SSU rRNA". It matches the Rfam family "Eukaryotic small subunit ribosomal RNA", at positions 587 to 972 of the family's 1831-position model. The record is from RNAcentral. Lineage: Eukaryota; Bacillariophyta; Thalassiosirophyceae; Chaetocerotales; Chaetocerotaceae.
AGCUCCAAUAGCGUAUAUUAAAGUUGCUGCAGUUAAAAAGCUCGUAGUUGCAUUUCCGAGGCAAGGGAUUAGUCCGACCUUUGGUGGGUAUUUAAUCCUCUUGCCUCGUCCUUGAGUGGUGCUUCUUGGUAUUAAGUUAUCGAGGAGAUAGCCGCUCAUCGUUUACUGUGAGAAAAUUAGAGUGUUCAAAGCAGGCUUAUGCCGUUGAAUAUAUUAGCAUGGAAUAAUAAGAUAGGACCUUCGACCUCGGUACUAUUUUGUUGGUUUGAGAACCAAGGUAAUGAUGAAUAGGGACAGUUGGGGGUAUUCGUAUUCAGUUGUCAGAGGUGAAAUUCUUAGAUUUACGGAAGACGAACUACUGCGAAAGCAUUUACCAAGGAUGUUUUCA